CCAGGGUUCCCCGGACUCGUUCCAGGGUCGUUUCCGUUCGACAUGCCAUUUCGCAGGCCCGCGGAAGAGUUGCUGUAGUCCCAGUGGUUGCCCCCCUGUCCGGUCGCCUCCGCCUCGGCCGUCAAAGUCAGAGUUUCUCGGAGUGCGCACAAGCAGCGACUAGGCUACACUGGCCCGCAUCGACACACCCACUCACUCUGUGACUGCAGGCAGAGGGCGAGGAAGCACACAGGGACUCCCAGAACACAGGGAGAGCAGAACGAAAAGAACAACUGGCUGUGAUGGGCCAGCCGAGGAGGGCUUGUUGUUUAGUUCAGGCUCCAAAGCUGUUCGACUUCACCGGAAAGUUAGCAAGAACGAAACAAGGAGAUAUCCGGCUAGAUCUUUCAAAAUAAAAUAACGGAAAUCUG
Acanthopagrus latus (yellowfin seabream) is the source of this 410-nucleotide long non-coding RNA. RefSeq lists it as uncharacterized. The transcript is spliced from 2 exons. Lineage: Eukaryota; Metazoa; Chordata; Actinopteri; Spariformes; Sparidae. The record is from RefSeq and is a predicted model, not a curated record.